RNAcentral lists this ribosomal RNA (231 nucleotides) under uncultured bacterium. Its description in RNAcentral is "partial 16S ribosomal RNA". It matches the Rfam family "Bacterial small subunit ribosomal RNA", at positions 118 to 351 of the family's 1533-position model. The record is from RNAcentral.
UAGGAAUAUACCUUGAAGUGGGGGAUAACUUGGGGAAACUCAAGCUAAUACCGCAUAAGCUCUGAGGAGGAAAGCUGGGGACCUUCGGGCCUGGCGCUUUAAGAAUAGCCUGCGUCUGAUUAGCUAGUUGGUAGGGUAAAGGCCUACCAGGGCGACGAUCAGUAGCUGGUCUGAGAGGAUGAUCAGCCACACUGGGACUGAGACACGGCCCAGACUCCGUACGGGAGGCAG